Molecule: ribosomal RNA, 791 nt
Filed under: uncultured bacterium
Lineage: Bacteria
Description: bacterial SSU rRNA
Rfam family: Bacterial small subunit ribosomal RNA
Source: RNAcentral
AGAGUUUGAUCCUGGCUCAGAGCGAACGCUGGCGGCAUGCCUUACACAUGCAAGUCGAACGGUAACAGGUCUUCGGAUGCUGACGAGUGGCGAACGGGUGAGUAAUACAUCGGAACGUGCCCAGUAAUGGGGGAUAGCUCGGCGAAAGCCGGAUUAAUACCGCAUACGCCCUGAGGGGGAAAGUGGGGGACCGCAAGGCCUCACGUUAUUGGAGCGGCCGAUGGCUGAUUAGCUAGUUGGUAGGGUAAAGGCCUACCAAGGCGACGAUCAGUAGCUGGUCUGAGAGGACGAUCAGCCACACUGGGACUGAGACACGGCCCAGACUCCUACGGGAGGCAGCAGUGGGGAAUUUUGGACAAUGGGGGAAACCCUGAUCCAGCAAUGCCGCGUGUGCGAAGAAGGCCUUCGGGUUGUAAAGCACUUUUGUCAGGGAAGAAAUCCUUUGGGCUAAUACCCUAGGGGGAUGACGGUACCUGAAGAAUAAGCACCGGCUAACUACGUGCCAGCAGCCGCGGUAAUACGUAGGGUGCAAGCGUUAAUCGGAAUUACUGGGCGUAAAGCGUGCGCAGGCGGUUGUGUAAGACAGGUGUGAAAUCCCCGGGCUUAACCUGGGAAUUGCAUUUGUGACUGCACGACUAGAGUGUGUCAGAGGGGGGUGGAAUUCCACGUGUAGCAGUGAAAUGCGUAGAUAUGUGGAGGAACACCAAUGGCGAAGGCAGCCCCCUGGGAUAACACUGACGCUCAUGCACGAAAGCGUGGGGAGCAAACAGGAUUAGAUACCCCGGUAGUCC